Molecule: ribosomal RNA, 465 nt
Filed under: uncultured bacterium
Lineage: Bacteria
Description: bacterial SSU rRNA
Rfam family: Bacterial small subunit ribosomal RNA
Source: RNAcentral
CCUACGGGCCGCACCAGUGGGGAAUAUUGCACAAUGGGCGCAAGCCUGAUGCAGCCAUGCCGCGUGUAUGAAGAAGGCCUUCGGGUUGUAAAGUACUUUCAGCGGGGAGGAAGGCGAUAAGGCUAAUAACCUUGUCGAUUGACGUUACCCGCAGAAGAAGCACCGGCUAACUCCGUGCCAGCAGCCGCGGUAAUACGGAGGGUGCAAGCGUUAAUCGGAAUUACUGGGCGUAAAGCGCACGCAGGCGGUCUGUCAAGUCGGAUGUGAAAUCCCCGGGCUCAACCUGGGAACUGCAUUCGAAACUGGCAGGCUGGAGUCUUGUAGAGGGGGGUGGAAUUCCAGGUGUAGCGGUGAAAUGCGCAGAGAUCUGGAGGAAUACCGGUGGCGAAGGCGGCCCCCUGGACAGAGACUGACGCUCAGGUGCGAAAGCGUGGGGAGCAAACAGGAUUAGAUACCCGCGUAGUC